Molecule: ribosomal RNA, 223 nt
Filed under: uncultured Thiobacillus sp.
Lineage: Bacteria; Pseudomonadati; Pseudomonadota; Betaproteobacteria; Nitrosomonadales; Thiobacillaceae
Description: partial 16S ribosomal RNA
Rfam family: Bacterial small subunit ribosomal RNA
Source: RNAcentral
GAACGAACGGAGAGGUGGGAUGACUCAAGUCCUCAUGGCCCUUAUGGGUAGGGCUUCACACGUCAUACAAUGGUCGGUACAGAGGGUUUGCCAAGCCGCGAGGCGGAGCCAAUCCCACAAAGCCGAUCGUAGUCCGGAUUGUUCUCUGCAACUCGAGAGCAUGAAGUCGGAAUCGCUAGUAAUCGCAGGUCAGCAUACUGCGGUGAAUACGUUCCCGGGUCUU